UUCAUAAACAACCAGGAUGUUGGCUCAGAAGCAGCCACCAUUUAAAGAGUGCGUAAUAGCUCACUGGUCGAGAGACGCUGCGCCGAAAAUGUCCGGGGCUCAAGCACGGAACCGAAGCUAUGGCAGACGCAAGUCUGGGUAGGGGAGCGUUCUUAUAGGGAAGAAGCAUUACCGUAAGGAGAUGUGGACAUAUAAGAAGUGAGAAUGCCGGUAUGAGUAUCGAAAAGAAAGGUGAGAAUCCUUUCCACCGAAAGCCCGAGGGUUCCUGAGUAACGAUCGUCGACUCAGGGUAAGUCGGGACCUAAGCCGAGGCGAAGACGCAUAGGCGAUGGACAACAGGUUGAAAUUCCUGUACCGGAUAUGGCCGUUACCAGCGAUGGAGCGACGCAGAAGGGCACAUGAUCGCGCGACUGGAAGAGCGCGUCCAAGUGAGUAUGUUGGUGAGGAGGCAAAUCCCCUCACCUGAAAGCAGAGACAUGAUGGGGAGUUAAAGGCGACUUUGACGAACUCAUGGAUCCCACACUGCCAAGAAAAACUUCUAGCGAGGACAUAUCCGCCCGUACCGUAAACCGACACAGGUAGGCGGGGAGAGAAUCCUAAGGUGCGCGGGAAAACCCUCGUUAAGGAACUCGGCAAAUUGCAUCCGUAACUUAGGGAGAAGGAUGACCCUCUGUAGGCGAAGGGCAGAAACGCCCGGAACCGAAAAGGGUGGCAGAAAAGAGGCCCAAGCAACUGUUUACCAAAAACACAGGUGCCUGCGAAAGCGAAAGCUGAAGUAUAGGUGCUGACGCCUGCCCGGUGCUGGAAGGUUAAGGAGAGAGGUUAGCGUAAGCGAAGCUUUGAACUGAAGCCCCAGUGAACGGCGGCCGUAACUAUAACGGUCCUAAGGUAGCGAAAUUCCUUGUCGGGUAAGUUCCGACCCGCAUGAAAGGCGUAAUGAUUUGGGCACUGUCUCAACGAGGGGCCCGGUGAAAUUGAAAUACCUGUGAAGAUGCAGGUUACCCGCGACUGGACAGAAAGACCCCAUGGAGCUUCACUGCAGCUUGAGAUUGAAUCUCGGUGACAGAUGCACAGGAUAGGUGGGAGGCUGAGAAGCAUUGACUUUGGUUGAUGCAGAGCCGCUGUUGGGAUACCACCCUUCUGUUGCUGAGAUUCUAACACGGAGACUAACAACCUCGUGGACCAUCUCAGGCAGGCGGUUUGACUGGGGCGGUCGCCUCCGAAAGAGUAACGGAGGCGCCCAAAGGUUCCCUCAGGCCGGACAGAAACCGGCCGAAGAGUGCAAAGGCAGAAGGGAGCUUGACUGCGAGACAGACAAGUCGAGCAGAGACGAAAGUCGGGCUUAGUGAUCCGGUGGUACUGUGUGGAAAGGCCAUCGCUCAACGGAUAAAAGCUACCCUGGGGAUAACAGGCUAAUCUCUCCCAAGAGUUCAUAUCGACGGGGAGGUUUGGCACCUCGAUGUCGGCUCAUCACAUCCUGGAGCUGGAGUAGGUUCCAAGGGUUGGGCUGUUCGCCCAUUAAAGUGGUACGCGAGCUGGGUUCAAAACGUCGUGAGACAGUUUGGUUCAUAUCCAUCGCGGGCGUAAGAAGUUUGAGGGAGGCUGCUCCUAGUACGAGAGGACCGGAGUGGACGGAUCAACGGUGUACCAGUUGUCGCGCCAGCGGCACGGCUGGAAAGCCGCAUCCGGAAAGGAUAAACGCUGAAAGCAUCUAAGCGUGAAGCCCGUCCCGAGAUGAGACUUCU
Molecule: ribosomal RNA, 1745 nt
Filed under: human gut metagenome
Description: bacterial LSU rRNA
Rfam family: Bacterial large subunit ribosomal RNA
Source: RNAcentral